This 102-nucleotide microRNA precursor is filed under the name Camelina sativa (false flax). RNAcentral describes it as "miR162a stem-loop (cas-MIR162a)". Its record names the gene cas-MIR162a. It matches the Rfam family "MIR162_1 microRNA precursor family", at positions 9 to 104 of the family's 112-position model. The record is from miRBase by way of RNAcentral. Lineage: Eukaryota; Viridiplantae; Streptophyta; Magnoliopsida; Brassicales; Brassicaceae.
CACUGGAGGCAGCGGUUCAUCGAUCUCUUCCUGGGGACACAAAAAAAAAAGAAAAAUAAAAUGGAAAAGCAUGAAUAGAUCGAUAAACCUCUGCAUCCAGUG